This 376-nucleotide ribosomal RNA is filed under the name uncultured bacterium. RNAcentral's name for it is "bacterial SSU rRNA". It matches the Rfam family "Bacterial small subunit ribosomal RNA", at positions 521 to 896 of the family's 1533-position model. The record is from RNAcentral.
UAAGACAGGGGGUGCAAACGUUGCUCGGAAUCACUGGGCGUAAAGCGCACGUAGGCGGUCUCGUAAGUCGGGUGUGAAAUCCCACAGCUUAACUGUGGAACUGCGCCCGAUACUGCGGGGCUUGAGGAUGGGAGGGGAGAGCGGAAUUCCAGGUGGAGCGGUGAAAUGCGUAGAUAUCUGGAGGAACACCGGUGGCGAAAGCGGCUCUCUGGUCCAUUCCUGACGCUGAGGUGCGAAAGCUAGGGGAGCAAACGGGAUUAGAUACCCCGGUAGUCCUAGCUGUAAACGAUGGGCACUAGGUAGAGGGAUACUAUGCGUCUCUCUGCCGGAGCUAACGCGUUAAGUGCCCCGCCUGGGGAGUAUGCUCGCAAGGGUA